Molecule: transfer RNA, 75 nt
Filed under: Flavobacteriales bacterium
Lineage: Bacteria; Pseudomonadati; Bacteroidota; Flavobacteriia; Flavobacteriales
Description: tRNA-Val
Rfam family: tRNA
About the family: Transfer RNA (tRNA) molecules are approximately 80 nucleotides in length. Their secondary structure includes four short double-helical elements and three loops (D, anti-codon, and T loops).
Source: RNAcentral
GGGCAAUUAGCUCAGUUGGUUCAGAGCGUUCGCCUCACACGCGAGAGGUCACUGGUUCGAGCCCAGUAUUGCCCA